UACGUAGGGGGCGAGCGUUGUCCGGAUUUAUUGGGCGUAAGGAGCUCGUAGGCGGUGUGUCGCGUCGGCCGUGAAAACCUGCAGCUUAACUGUGGGCUUGCGGUCGAUACGGGCAUCACUGGAGUUCGGCAGGGGAGACUGGAAUUCCUGGUGUAGCGGUGAAAUGCGCAGAUAUCAGGAGGAACACCGGUGGCGAAGGCGGGUCUCUGGGCCGAUACUGACGCUGAGGAGCGAAAGCGUGGGGAGCGAACAGG
RNAcentral lists this ribosomal RNA (254 nucleotides) under uncultured bacterium. Its description in RNAcentral is "partial 16S ribosomal RNA". It matches the Rfam family "Bacterial small subunit ribosomal RNA", at positions 524 to 776 of the family's 1533-position model. The record is from RNAcentral.